AUUUUUUUUUUUGAAAAGUUGAUCAUAUUUUAUUUUCUGAUCAAUUUUUUUUUCAAAAAAAAUAAAAUAACAACAGAAAACACAAAAAGAGUUGAAUUGUUUUUUAUUGGAAAAAUUGUUUCAUAUUAAAGAGACAUUUUCAAAAAACAACAAAAAAAACCAAAAAAAAAAAAAAACCAAAAUCCCCCAUUUGUAAAAUAUAUUAUUAAAUCAUGUCGAAAGCACCAUCCAAACGAUACACGCUGAAAUAUAUGCCGAAAGGUGUCAGUAGCGUUGCAUUGUUGCAAGGAAACACUAGAGUU
This 302-nucleotide ribosomal RNA is filed under the name Pessonella sp. PRA-29. Its description in RNAcentral is "partial Trypanosomatid mitochondrial large subunit ribosomal RNA". Lineage: Eukaryota; Discosea; Flabellinia; Vannellidae. The record is from RNAcentral.